AGAGGCAACAGGCGAGCAACCAGGCUUCUCCAAUGCAAUGUGGCGAGAUUGCUCUCGUCACAGGGACCAAGGACAGAGCCUUGGGGGACUCCAAACGACACAGGAUGAGGGGAGGAGGUAUCAUUAGAAAAGGAGACACUGAAUGAGCGUUGGGAGAGAUAAGAGGAAAACCAUGAGAGGACAGAGUCACAGAGACUCAGUGAAUGAAGGGUUUGAAGAAGGAGAGCAUGAUCAACGGUGUCAAAGGCAGCAGAGAGUUCAAGAAGAAUUAGUAUGGAGUAGUGGCCUUUGGAUUUAGCUGCGAUUAGGUCGUUAGUAACUUUCAUAAGGGCAGUCUCUGUAGAGUGGAGAGGGCAGAAGCCAGAUUGAAGAGGGUCAAGGAGAGAGUUGGAAUUGAGGAAAUGAGUCAGACGGGUAAAGACAAGUCUUUCCAGAAGCUUUGAGGAAAAAGGGAGCAGGGAUCUAGGACGAUAGUUA
Pelobates cultripes (western spadefoot toad) is the source of this 477-nucleotide non-coding RNA. Lineage: Eukaryota; Metazoa; Chordata; Amphibia; Anura; Pelobatidae. The record is from the annotation of a GenBank genome assembly.